Molecule: long non-coding RNA, 243 nt
Filed under: Elaeis guineensis (African oil palm)
Lineage: Eukaryota; Viridiplantae; Streptophyta; Magnoliopsida; Arecales; Arecaceae
Description: long non-coding RNA (EGUI_LNC005165)
Source: RNAcentral
GCGACAUACCGACCCGGUCACGAUCGGUCGAAGGAUAUUCGGCUUGCCACCAUCUAUCAUACGACUCGACAUGCUACAUCAACGGGUAUUCGACUUGCGACAUACCGACCCGGUCACGACCGGUCGAAGGAUAUUCGGCUUGCCACCAUCUAUUAUACGACUUGACAUGCUACGUCAACGGAUAUUCGACUUGCGACAUACCGACCCGGUCACGAUCGGUCGAAGGAUAUUCGGCUUGCCACC